Molecule: ribosomal RNA, 254 nt
Filed under: uncultured bacterium
Lineage: Bacteria
Description: partial 16S ribosomal RNA
Rfam family: Bacterial small subunit ribosomal RNA
Source: RNAcentral
UACGUAGGUGGCAAGCGUUGUCCGGAUUUACUGGGCGUAAAGAGCGCGCAGGCGGUCGUUCAAGUCGCGUGUGAAAGCCCCCGGCUCAACUGGGGAGGGUCAUUCGAUACUGUUCGACUCGAAGGCAGGAGAGGGAAGUGGAAUUCCCGGUGUAGUGGUGAAAUGCGUAGAUAUCGGGAGGAACACCAGUGGCGAAGGCGACUUCCUGGCCUGUUCUUGACGCUGAGGCGCGAAAGCUAGGGGAGCAAACGGGG